GACGAACGCUGGCGGCGUGCCUAAUACAUGCAAGUAGAACGCUGAAGAGAGGAGCUUGCUCUUCUUGGAUGAGUUGCGAACGGGUGAGUAACGCGUAGGUAACCUGCCUUGUAGCGGGGGAUAACUAUUGGAAACGAUAGCUAAUACCGCAUAACAAUGGAUGACCCAUGUCAUUUAUUUGAAAGGGGCAAAUGCUCCACUACAAGAUGGACCUGCGUUGUAUUAGCUAGUAGGUGAGGUAACGGCUCACCUAGGCGACGAUACAUAGCCGACCUGAGAGGGUGAUCGGCCACACUGGGACUGAGACACGGCCCAGACUCCUACGGGAGGCAGCAGUAGGGAAUCUUCGGCAAUGGGGGCAACCCUGACCGAGCAACGCCGCGUGAGUGAAGAAGGUUUUCGGAUCGCAAAGCUCUGUUGUAAGUCAAGAACGAGUGUGAGAGUGGAAAGUUCACACUGUGACGGUAGCUUACCAGAAAGGGACGGCUAACUACGUGCCAGCAGCCGCGGUAAUACGUAGGUCCCGAGCGUUGUCCGGAUUUAUUGGGCGUAAAGCGAGCGCAGGCGGUUUGAUAAGUCUGAAGUUAAGGCCGUGGCUCAACCAUAGUUCGCUUUGGAAACUGUCAAACUUGAGUGCAGAAGGGGAGAGUGGAAUUCCAUGUGUAGCGGUGAAAUGCGUAGAUAUAUGGAGGAACACCGGUGGCGAAAGCGGCUCUCUGGUCUGUAACUGACGCUGAGGCUCGAAAGCGUGGGGAGCGAACAGGAUUAGAUACCCUGGUAGUCCACGCCGUAAACGAUGAGUGCUAGGUGUUGGAUCCUUUCCGGGAUUCAGUGCCGCAGCUAACGCAUUAAGCACUCCGCCUGGGGAGUACGACCGCAAGGUUGAAACUCAAAGGAAUUGACGGGGGCCCGCACAAGCGGUGGAGCAUGUGGUUUAAUUCGAAGCAACGCGAAGAACCUUACCAGGUCUUGACAUCCCGAUGCUAUUUCUAGAGAUAGAAAGUUACUUCGGUACAUCGGUGACAGGUGGUGCAUGGUUGUCGUCAGCUCGUGUCGUGAGAUGUUGGGUUAAGUCCCGCAACGAGCGCAACCCCUAUUGUUAGUUGCCAUCAUUCAGUUGGGCACUCUAGCGAGACUGCCGGUAAUAAACCGGAGGAAGGUGGGGAUGACGUCAAAUCAUCAUGCCCCUUAUGACCUGGGCUACACACGUGCUACAAUGGUUGGUACAACGAGUUGCGAGUCGGUGACGGCAAGCUAAUCUCUUAAAGCCAAUCUCAGUUCGGAUUGUAGGCUGCAACUCGCCUACAUGAAGUCGGAAUCGCUAGUAAUCGCGGAUCAGCACGCCGCGGUGAAUACGUUCCCGGGCCU
Molecule: ribosomal RNA, 1368 nt
Filed under: uncultured bacterium
Lineage: Bacteria
Description: bacterial SSU rRNA
Rfam family: Bacterial small subunit ribosomal RNA
Source: RNAcentral